Molecule: long non-coding RNA, 237 nt
Filed under: Meleagris gallopavo (turkey)
Lineage: Eukaryota; Metazoa; Chordata; Aves; Galliformes; Phasianidae
Description: lncRNA (ENSMGAG00000018083.1)
Source: RNAcentral
CGAUUGCGGAGCAGGUUUGUUGCGUUGACCCCUUGGAGGUUGUAUCAUCUGACCUCUCUCAUAAUACUUGGACUGCUAGUUCUACAGAUAAUAAAGGAUUUGGUGUUAUCUAGGAUAAAAGGUGCACAGCUUUGGAGGAGCAUCACUGACAAGUAGGUACAUUAUUUUUAAUAUGCUGUUUAUUUGAUAUCAUCUUUUCUUAUAGUUAAUCUUUUAAUCUUGAAUUUUAAGAGUGUG